CGAGUGAACAGGGAAGAGCUCAAAUUUGUAAUCUGGCGUCCUUUGGGCGUCCGAGUUGUAAUCUAUAGAAGCGUUUUCCGUGCUGGACCAUGUCCAAGUCCCUUGGAACAGGGUAUCAAAGAGGGUGAUAAUCCCGUACUUGACAUGACAACCAGUGCUCUGUGAUACGUUCUCUACGAGUCGAGUUGUUUGGGAAUGCAGCUCAAAAUGGGUGGUGAGUUCCAUCUAAAGCUAAAUAUUGGCGAGAGACCGAUAGCGAACAAGUACCGUGAGGGAAAGAUGAAAAGCACUUUGGAAAGAGAGUUAAACAGUACGUGAAAUUGUUGAAAGGGAAACGAUUGAAGUCAGUCGUGUCCAAGGGGUUCAGCCGGUUAUGCCGGUGUAUUCCCCUUGGACGGGUCAACAUCAGUUUGGACCGGUGGAAAAGGGUAGUUGGAAGGUAGCAGCUCCGGCUGUGUUAUAGACUUCUGCCGCACACACUGGUCUAGACUGAGGCAUGCAGCUCGCCCUUGUGGCCGGGGUUUACCCACGUACGAGCUUAGG
RNAcentral lists this ribosomal RNA (543 nucleotides) under Kockovaella sacchari. RNAcentral describes it as "LSU rRNA". It matches the Rfam family "Eukaryotic large subunit ribosomal RNA", at positions 90 to 621 of the family's 3401-position model. Lineage: Eukaryota; Fungi; Basidiomycota; Tremellomycetes; Tremellales; Cuniculitremaceae. The record is from RNAcentral.